GCCCGUACCGUAAACCGACACAGGUGGGUGGGAUGAGUAUUCUAAGGCGCGUGGAAGAACUCUCUUUAAGGAACUCUGCAAAAUAGCACCGUAUCUUCGGUAUAAGGUGUGCCUAGCUUCGUUAAGAAUUUACUUCGUAAGCGAAGAAGGUUACAACAAAGAGUCCCUCCCGACUGUUUACCAUAAACACAGCACUCUGCUAACUCGUAAGAGGAUGUAUAGGGUGUGACGCCUGCCCGGUGCUCGAAGGUUAAUUGAUGACGUUAGCUUACGCAAAGCGUCUGAUCGAAGCCCGAGUAAACGGCGGCCGUAACUAUAACGGUCCUAAGGUAGCGAAAUUCCUUGUCGGUUAAAUACCGACCUGCAUGAAUGGCGUAACGAGAUGGGAGCUGUCUCAAAGAGGGAUCCAGUGAAAUUGUAGUGGAGGUGAAAAUUCCUCCUACCCGCGGCAAGACGGAAAGACCCCGUGGACCUUUACUAUAGCUUGACACUGCUACUUGGAUAAAGAUGCGCAGGAUAGGUGGGAGGCUUCGAUUCGUAGAUCUCGGUUUACGAUGAGCCAUUGUUGAGAUACCACUCUUCUUUAUUCGGGUAGCUAACUAGCCUAAGUUAUCCUUAGGUAGGACAAUGUCUGGUGGGUAGUUUGACUGGGGCGGUCGCCUCCCAAAAUGUAACGGAGGCUUACAAAGGUUGGCUCAAAGCGGUUGGAAAUCGCUUGCAGAGUAUAAAGGCAAAAGCCAGCUUAACUGCGAGACAUACACGUCGAGCAGAGACGAAAGUCGGUCUUAGUGAUCCGGUGGUUCUGUGUGGAAGGGCCAUCGCUCAAAGGAUAAAAGGUACCCCGGGGAUAACAGGCUGAUCUCCCCCAAGAGCUCACAUCGACGGGGAGGUUUGGCACCUCGAUGUCGGCUCAUCGCAUCCUGGGGCUGGAGCAGGUCCCAAGGGUUGGGCUGUUCGCCCAUUAAAGCGGUACGCGAGCUGGGUUCAGAACGUCGUGAGACAGUUCGGUCCCUAUCUGCCGUGGGCGUAAGAAGAUUGAGGAGAGUUGACCCUAGUACGAGAGGACCGGGUUGAACCGACCACUGGUGUACCGGUUGUUCUGCCAAGAGCACCGCCGGGUAGCUAAGUCGGGAUGCGAUAAGAGCUGAAAGCAUCUAAGCUCGAAGCCGACUCCAAGAUGAAUCUUCUUUUAAGAGCUCUAGUAGACUACUAGUUUGAUAGGCCGGAUGUGUAAUGGAUGAAAGUCCUUUAGCUGACCGGUACUAAUAGCUCGUUUGCUUAUCUUU
RNAcentral lists this ribosomal RNA (1286 nucleotides) under human oral metagenome. RNAcentral's name for it is "bacterial LSU rRNA". It matches the Rfam family "Bacterial large subunit ribosomal RNA", at positions 1640 to 2925 of the family's 2925-position model. The record is from RNAcentral.